RNAcentral lists this microRNA precursor (58 nucleotides) under Mus musculus (house mouse). Its description in RNAcentral is "Mmu-Mir-506-P14_pre stem-loop". Lineage: Eukaryota; Metazoa; Chordata; Mammalia; Rodentia; Muridae. The record is from RNAcentral.
UAUUCAGAGAGAUAACAGUCACAUCUUUUCUAAAGUAACUGUGUCUUUUCUGAAUAGA